UGCCAGACUCCUACGGGAGGCAGCAGUGGGGAAUCUUCCGCAAUGGGCGAAAGCCUGACGGAGCAACGCCGCGUGAUCGAAUGAAGGCCUUCGGGUUGUAAACAUCUGUUGACAGGGACGAAUAAGCAAUGCGAAUAGUUUUGUGUAUGACGGUACCUGUUUAGAAAGCUCCGGCUAACUACGUGCCAGCAGCCGCGGUAAUACGGAGGGAGCAAGCGUUGUCCGGAAUUACUGGGCGUAAAGGGCGCGUAGGUGGGCGGUUAAGUCAGGGGUGAAAACGCGGGGCUCAACCUGGAGACUGCGCUUGAACCUGGGUGUCUUGAGGGGAGGAGAGGAAAGGGGAA
RNAcentral lists this ribosomal RNA (344 nucleotides) under uncultured bacterium. Its description in RNAcentral is "bacterial SSU rRNA". It matches the Rfam family "Bacterial small subunit ribosomal RNA", at positions 329 to 666 of the family's 1533-position model. The record is from RNAcentral.